GAAGCCCCCCAAGAAUGAUUUAAUCUUGAACACAAACAUCCUCAGAUGUGUCCCCAGGUGGAUAGACAAGAAGAAACUCUUAGAAAAAUAAGACAGGGACCAUAAAAAACAAAAAACAAACAAACAAAAACAAGGCAGUUAACCUACAAGAGAGUAGAAGCAGAUUUAGACAGAUGGACAAGCAAGGAACUUACUUCUCUGCCUGGAUACUCCAGAUCUACACCAAGAACACAGAAAUUUCUGCAAAUGGAACUGGAUGGAAGAUUAGGACUAUCAUGAUCCUGCCUGCAUGAGAAGUAACAGCAUGCCUUAGAGGCCCUAUUGUGGAAUUUCACUAACAUCUCUGAAGUUCAGGCAAAAGUUGUCUCCUAGGUCUAGAGUCUUCAAACAGGAAUCACAUAUUCUGGGAGAAACCAUGGUGGGUGGCAACACUAACCAUGAAUAUAUCUUGCCUGAUGAGGAUUAAAGAUAAUAGUUUAUGUGAAGCUGUACUCAAGUUCAAAGGCAAGGAACAUGCUGAAGAACUGGCACAAAAUUCUUCUGGGAAAUGGCUUAUGCAGGAAAUAAGAAUGAUUCAGAGGUAUUCUAAUUCACAUUCUCAGGAAAACCCAAGAGAACAUUUCAUGUAAUGUCAGGCAACUUAGAAGAGUGGUUAAGAACCACUGGUGAAGGGUGCUCUGGGACACCUCUAGCCCAUAUCUAUUCCACCCAUUGCUAUGCCUCUAAGGUGGCCUAGGUGAAGCACCUCCAGUACAACAUCCCCCAGUCCCCACCAUAAUGGCCUUCAGUAGAACAUUCUCCAAGACCCCAAUGGUAUUUCCCUGAUUUUAGCUGCCCCACCAAGACAUCCGGGUGUUAUACACCCUGGGACUCCCAAGACUGUACUUGUUCUACUUCUACCAUCCCACCAGGGUAGCCUUGAGCUGUGCUAACACCAGUUCCAGCUAACCUCAGUGCUAGUACCUACUCCAGUUCUAGCCAUUCCAUCAAGGGAGCCCUGAGGGAAUGUACCCUGGGACUACCUGUCUCAUGCCCACUUCAGCUCCAGCCAGCCUACCAAUGCCACUAGUCAUAUGCAGUCUACAGAGGGGAUACUCUUACACAAGGCCAUUCCUUCAACACUAGGAUAGGUAGCUGUUGUGUUUAAUUCAUCGAAAUAAACACAGAAAGUAAAACAAAGUGAGGAAUAUGUUCCAAACAAAGGAACAAGAUGAAACUAUAGGGGCAGAGGACAAUAAAAUAGAGGAAAGUAGUUUAUCUGACAAGUGGUUGAAAGUAAUAGUCAUAAAAGGGGCACCUUAAGGGCUCAGUUGGUUAAAUGUCUGCCUUUGGCUCAGGCCACCAUCCAAGAUCCUGUGAUCAGCCCUAAGAUAGGCUCUCUGUUCAGUGGGUAGCCUGCUUCUCCCUCUUCCUCUGCCCUUUCCCCCCUGCUCAAGCUCAUGCUCUCUCUUUUGCAUACUUUCUCUCUCAAGUAGGUAAAUAAAAUCUUUAAAAAAGAGAGAGAGAGAGAGAAAGUAAUAGUCAUAAAGAUGCUCACCAAACCAGGGAGAAGAAUGUAGGAACUCAGAACUUAAACAAAAAAUAUAAGGAAGAAACAUCAGAGCUAAAGAAUACAAAAACUGAAAUGAAAAAUACUUGAGGAGAAAUCAACAGUAUGUUAAAAAAUACAGAAGAAUGCAUCAGAAAUCAGGAAGUUAGAAUAGAAAUCAUCAAGUAAAACGAGCAAAAAGAAAAAAGAAAUUUUAAAGUAAGAUAGCUUAAGAAAUCUCUAGAACAAUCUCAGGUGGAAUAACAUUUGCAUUAUAGGGGUCUAGCCAGGAAAGGAGACAAAGAAGCAGAAACCUUAUUUAGAGAAAUAAUGGCUGAAAACAUCCAUAACCUGGGGAGGGAAACUGACAUCCAUGUUCAGAAGGCAUAGAGAGUCCCAAGUAGAUGAAUCCAAAGAAAUCUACACCAAGACAUAUAAUUAAAAUGACAAAAAUUGAAGAUAAAGAAUCUUAAAGGCAGCCAGAGAAAUGCAAAUAGUCACAUACAAGGGAAACUCCAUAAUAUUUGAAGGCUUCAAGUGAUUGGCAGGAUAAAUUUAAAAUGUCAAAAGGAAAAACUUAAAACCAAAAUUACUAUACCCUGGAAGAUUAUUAUCAGAAUUAAAGGAGAGUUAUAGGGAUGCUUGAGUGGCUCAGUCGAUUAAACAUCUACCUUCAGCUCAGGCAGGUCAUGAUCCCAGGGUCCUGGGAUUGAGCCCCACAUUAGCAUCAAGUUCCUUGCUCAAUGGAGAGUCUGUUUCUCCCUCUGCCUCUGCCCCUUCCUCUGCUUGUGCUCUUAGUCUCUUGCCUCUUUGCUAAGUAUCAAAGAUAUUUAUGCUUAAACAAAUGUCUCCCUCCCAGUGCAUCUUUUUUUUAACGAAAAUAAUAAAAGAGCAUUAAAGAGUUUCCCAGACAAGAAAAAAACAAAAGACGUUCAUCACCACUAAUCUGGCCUUGCAAAAAAAUGUUAGAGUGUUCUUAAAGCAGAAAAAAGGGUAUAACUAGAAAUAAAUAUGUAUAUGAAAGAAAAAAUAUAUAGCUGAUAAAAGUAAGUAUAAAGGCAGAGUAUUGGCCAAUGAAAAGGCCAGUAUGUAGGCUAAAAGACAAAAGAGUGAAAUAAACUAAAAAAGUGUAUGAAGGACAAAAUUAAAAGAUAUAAAAUAUAACAUUAAAGCAUAAAACAUGGUGGGGAGGGAGAGCUUUUAGAAUGCAUUCAACCUUAAACAACUAUCAGCUUAAAAUAGGUACUAAAUAUAUACACGUGUGUGUGUGUGUGUGUGUGUGUGUGCAUGUGCGCACAUACAUACUGGCUUAAGUACAGGAGAUAUGAAUAUCUCC
Molecule: long non-coding RNA, 2864 nt
Organism: Canis lupus familiaris (dog)
Lineage: Eukaryota; Metazoa; Chordata; Mammalia; Carnivora; Canidae
Exons: 3
Source: RefSeq, a predicted model, not a curated record